UGGGGGAAUAUUGCACAAUGGGGGGAAACCCUGAUGCAGCGACGCCGCGUGAGCGAAGAAGUAUCUCGGUAUGUAAAGUUCUAUCAGCAGGGAAGAUAAUGACGGUACCUGACUAAGAAGCACCGGCUAAAUACGUGCCAGCAGCCGCGGUAAUACGUAUGGUGCAAGCGUUAUCCGGAUUUACUGGGUGUAAAGGGAGCGCAGGCGGUGCGGCAAGUCUGAUGUGAAAGCCCGGGCUCAACCCCGGUACUGCAUUGGAAACUGUCGUACUAGAGUGUCGGAGGGGUAAGUGGAAUUCCUAGUGUAGCGGUGAAAUGCAUAGAUAUUACGCAGAACUCCGAUUGCGAAGGCAGCUUUCCAGCGCGCUACUGACGCUGAGGCACGAAAGCGUGGGGAUCGAACAGGAUUAGAUACCCUGGUAGU
Molecule: ribosomal RNA, 423 nt
Filed under: uncultured Roseburia sp.
Lineage: Bacteria; Bacillati; Bacillota; Clostridia; Lachnospirales; Lachnospiraceae
Description: bacterial SSU rRNA
Rfam family: Bacterial small subunit ribosomal RNA
Source: RNAcentral